UACGGAGGGUGCAAGCGUUGUUCGGAAUCACUGGGCGUAAAGCGCGUGUAGGCGGCCUCUUAAGUCUGGUGUGAAAGCCCGGGGCUCACCCCCGGAGGGGCACUGGAUACUGAGAGGCUAGAGUACCGGAGAGGAGGGUGGAAUUCCUGGUGUAGCGGUGAAAUGCGUAGAUAUUAGGAGGAACACCGGUGGCGAAGGCGGCCCUCUGGAAGGCUACUGACGCUGAGACGCGAAAGCGUGGGGAGCAAACAGG
RNAcentral lists this ribosomal RNA (253 nucleotides) under uncultured bacterium. Its description in RNAcentral is "partial 16S ribosomal RNA". It matches the Rfam family "Bacterial small subunit ribosomal RNA", at positions 524 to 776 of the family's 1533-position model. The record is from RNAcentral.